GGUGAGGGGUGUGUCCCAUGCCGGUUUGAUCUACAAAAAAUGCGGGAGCAUAGAAAAAUCCCGCACUUUUGUAGAUCAAACCGACAUGGGACAACCUGACACUGUGUUCA
MicroRNA precursor from Caenorhabditis elegans, 110 nucleotides. The record is from Ensembl. NCBI's taxonomy places the organism in Eukaryota, Metazoa, Nematoda, Chromadorea, Rhabditida, Rhabditidae.